RNAcentral lists this long non-coding RNA (1135 nucleotides) under Mytilus galloprovincialis (Mediterranean mussel). Lineage: Eukaryota; Metazoa; Mollusca; Bivalvia; Mytilida; Mytilidae. The record is from RNAcentral.
UUGUAGAGUACGACGACUAGGGUACAUGUAUUUUAUUGUGACGUGUGAUAGACAUGUAAGUCUAGUACAUAGACAUGUAAGAUAUUUUUUAUGUAUGUUUUAAAUUGGUAUUAAUAAAGCAUACUGUUUAAUAUUCUGUAUUUUUAUGAAAGUUAUUAUGUAGGAAACAGUAACUGUGUGAAAUAACUUGUAUUAUACUAAUUGUAAUGCUUGUAGUCUGGAACAUAUGAUAAUUGAAGCAAAUAAGUUUUAAUUAACAUUUAAUAAAGUAAAGUUAGAACAAUUACAAUAUUAUGAUUUUUCUAGAAAUAUUGAAUUACUGUCAUUUGUAUAUUUGAUAAACCAGUUAAAGUUCAUGUUAUAAUUUACCAGUUCAUAGUAAUAAUCCACUGAAUAAUCCAACUGUAUGUCUUGUAUUUUUGUGAAGAUCCAAUUGUAGAAACUGUAGUAAAUCGUAGUAAAUUCCACGCACCUGUGCUUGAAUUUUAUGAAUGAAAUGUAUUGACAUGCGCAGUAGAACCCAUGUGUCACUUGGGACGAUUUUUCAAUAAAAACACUAUUUUAACAUUGUGGCAACUGUUUUCAUAUACUUCGUGUAAUUCCUUUUAGUAUUUGUAGUCAACGUCUUCAAUGUUUUGUAGAUGUUAAUGCUCACUAUCCUUGAUAUUUAACAUUUUGAUCCGCCGGUGACACACAUAACUUUUCGCAAUGUUGUUUACGUAUUGUGACUUCCGGUGGCGCUGUAUAUAUUGUUGUAUUUUUAGUUACUAUAGAAAUUUGUUUAGUACCAUGCAAACUUUGUUUAUUAUAUAAAGGUUACUAAAAUUGUCUGUUAUUGUGAUUUUUGUAAUUUAUUUGAGAAUUCAAAUAUUUAGUUGGAUAGCAAGCGCGCGAUCCAACAAUCCAACGAUUUUCCAACUUUGCCAACAAUCCAACAUUGACGUAAUUUCGACGCCUGUUCGUCAGUUCUGCUAAACUUUUGGUUAUUACAGUUAGUAUUUUAUUUGCUCGUAAAUUAUUUCAGUCAAAAUGGUUUAUUUUUCUUAGAAACUUCAUCUUUUUUAAAGGUUAAAUUGUAAAGGAAAAUAGUAAAGUUAGCGUUUUCAAAGUUUAAAAGGAAAAUUGCGUUUUAGCG